RNAcentral lists this long non-coding RNA (573 nucleotides) under Oryza brachyantha (malo sina). Its description in RNAcentral is "long non-coding RNA (OBRA_LNC003168)". The record is from RNAcentral. Lineage: Eukaryota; Viridiplantae; Streptophyta; Magnoliopsida; Poales; Poaceae.
UCAAUCUGAAGUAUAUUGGGCCACACCGAGCCGUGUAAGAGCAUGUAUGUGGCCAGCUGGCUGGUGCAUAAAUACUGUAUCGAUACAACAAUUGGAAGGCGGCUAAUGAAAUGAACUGAUCGCGGUGGUGAUGACUGCGGCGCCGAGUAUUCGGUUGAAUCUCCGGCGAUCUAUCAUUAUCGAUUCUCUGUUUCUGUGAGUUCCUAAUAAAAGGCCAGGGACCCUUUUUAUGAACUUGGAGUAGGGAAACGGGGCCAAGAGAUGCGGGGUGGUGGGCGCGCGUGCAGCCGCAGUUGUUUGUGUUAUGGUGUGCGUGAUGGGAGAAAUUUGAGAUUGCCACUCACUACUAGAGAAACCAUUUUUGCAAACGGGGCGGAACGAUUUUUGCAUACGGUUGUCCCAACCGCAUGCACCAAAUCGUCUGUGAAAAUGCAAAUCUUUGCAUGCGGCUAGGCCACCCGCAUGCGAAAAUCCGAUUUUCGCAUACGGACACUUAAGCCGACCGCAUGCAAGCAGAAAAAAUCACGAAAAAAAAAUAAAAUUCAUAAGAUAAACAAAUGACAAAAACCUAGC